This is a long non-coding RNA of Tachysurus fulvidraco (yellow catfish), 861 nucleotides long. RefSeq lists it as uncharacterized. The record is from RefSeq and is a predicted model, not a curated record. The transcript is spliced from 3 exons. Lineage: Eukaryota; Metazoa; Chordata; Actinopteri; Siluriformes; Bagridae.
GAGUGAAUUCUCAUCUCCUCAACUAACUGGUAUAAUAUCUGAGGGACAGCAAAUUAAAAAUAAAUGUUUAAACAAUUUACCUUGCUAUUGUGGCAGGUGGAGGUCGGUAAGUGAUUAUUAGGCAUUAGGUUAUUCAUUGGUUGGUGCUGAUAGAGGAGGUUGGAUUAUGUCUAUAUAAACAACAUGCAUGUGUGACCUAAACGAGCGUCACUUCCCGGGAUCCCGUGUCAUGGAUUGAGGGCUGUUGUGAUUUUGCUUCGCAGGACGAUCGCAGCAACUGUAGUCAUCUCCGUGGCUGCAGAUAUCGUGGCUUUGACGUAUUGUUCGUGGUGUGUGUCUCACAUCUGUUUAUGCGACCAUAUUCAGUCAAUAAAUACAAUGCCGUGUUAUGGGCGGAUGACGACUGUUAUUUUCCCUCGUGUAUCCUGAGCUUCACCAGCUGAAUGAUUAAACUGAAACUAUACUUCGCAUUGCAACUAUGGAGUAUUAUCUUCACCUCUACUGACUCCCGGGUCCCUGCGCCUGUUAUAUGAGUGAUGGGGGCAUGCAGUGACGUCACCGCUGUCUUGUUCUUCGUUGAACGUUCGUGAAUGCCAUUUUUAUGCGGUUGUGAAUCCGCUAAUGGUGUGGGAGUGCUCUUUUGCACUUAGAUGGUCCAGUUGUGUUUUUAUUUAAUUGAUUUUAUUAGUUAUUUUUGGUUAAUCUCUGUAUCUUUGCCAAUGUACUGGUGAUUAUUUGUUUUCUCUGUUGUUCCAGUGACGAUUGGUUUUGUGUUCUUUAUUCUUUAAUUUGAUUUAAUUUUGUUAAUUUAUUGUUUCGGAUGCCUCCUGGACGCCUCCCUGGGGAGGUGUUCCGGGCAUG